AUGAAAGCAGGUUACCAACGCAGAGUGUGGAUGCCUUGACUUAUGCAAGCGACGAAGGACGUAGGAGGCUGCGAAAAGCCCCGGGGAGCUGUCAACCAAGCUGUGAUCCGAGGAUAUCCGAAUGGGGCAACCCUCUGGUAGCAAUACCGGAACGAUAGUCUGAAUACAUAGGGCUACCGAGCAAACCCAGUGAAUUGAAACAUCUUAGUAGCUGGAGGAAAAGAAAUUAAUAAAGAUUCCGUCAGUAGUGGCGAGCGAACGCGGAAGAGCCUAAACCACCAUGUUUACAUGAGUGGGGUUGCAGGGCUGAUGGACUCGAUUGAUCGGGGUCCAGUACAAUCGUUAGGAGAAGGUUCUGGAAAGGACCACCACAGGGGGUAAUAGUCCCGUAUCCGAAAACGAUUUGUACUUGAUGCAUCAGUUCCUAAGUAGGGCGGGGCCGGAGAAACCCCGUUUGAAUCUGGGAGCACUAACUUCCAAGGCUAAACAUUGCAUAAGAUCGAUAGCGAACUAGUACCGUGAGGGAAAGGUGAAAAGCAUCCCGAAAGGGAGGUGAAAUAGAACUGAAACUCUCUGCUAACAAAGAGUCGGAGCCGUGCCUCAAUUCUGUUGAGUACGGAAUGACCCGCGUAACCGCUGACCAAACAACACUCAGUUUCAAUGACUGAAACUUCAUGCAUUUCAUUGAGGAAAAAACGGCGCGUGUAUAGCUCAGUUGGUAGAGCGCUUCCUUGCCAAGGAAGAGGUCACGAGUUCGAGACUCGUUACGCGCUCCACUCUCCCUAGCUAGAGUGGUUAUUCCUCGAACGGUGAAGGUACAAUGUAUCCUCGCCUCCUCAAUGAAGUGCAUGAAUACUUUCGGAAUUUGAAAUUGAUUGUUUGUAUUCUUUUGGCGGAUAGGUGGCAUUCUGUAGUGGAUAGAAUUGAGGUACGGUGACGGCGUGCUUUUUGCAGCACGAUCCAACGAGUUUGUUCUGUACGGUUUGUCUAAGGGAUGACGAGUUCCGGAGACAUAGUGAAAGCGAGCCUGAAUAGGGCGAAAUUAUAAUCGUAUGGACAAGACCCGAAGCCGGGCGAGCUACACUUGAGCAGGGUGAAGCGUGGGUAAAACCACGUGGAGGCCCGAACCCACUCGCUGUGCAACACGAGGGGAUGACUUGAGUGUAGGGGAGAAAUUCCAAUCGAGCUCGGCAAUAGCUGGUUCUCUCCGAAAUAGCUUGAGGGCUAGCGUCCUGUGUAUAUUUAUCCGAGGGGUAGAGCUACUGGAUGAGACUCCGCGCGCAAGCGUAGGUGUCUCAACCAAACUCCGAAUACUCGAGAUAACGAACAGGGCAGUCAGUACUACGGGGCUAAGCUCGUAGCACAAAAGGGAAACAGCCCAGAUCGUCAGCUAAGGUCCCUAAAUCUAUGCUAAGUGGGAAAGGAAGUGGAAACUCUCAGACACUGAGGAGGUUGGCUUAGAAGCAGCCAUCCUUUAAAGAGUGCGUAAUAGCUCACUCAUCUAGAGAUUCUGCGCCGACAAUGUAACGGGGCUAAGCAUAGUACCGAAGCUACGGAUUUCGUCGCAAGACGGAGUGGUAGGAGAGCGUCCCAUGUGCACCGAAGCGGAAGGGCGACUGACCGUGGAGCGCAUGGAAGUGAGAAUGUUGGAAUGAGUAACCGCAAUGUGAGUGAGAUCCUCACACAUCGAAAGUCCGAGGUUUCCUGGGCCAUGGUGAUCACCCCAGGGUUAGUCGGUCCUAAGGCGAGGCUGAAAGGCGUAGUCGAUGGACAUCAGGUUAAUAUUCCUGAACUAGGGUUUUAUUCGAAGGAGUGACGCAUCGUUGUAUCGUUCGCCCCUUAUUGGAUUGGGGUCGUGUUUCUGAGGAUGUCAUGUAGGCAAAUCCGCAUGGCGCGUAUCCGAUGGAAAUGGGCGUGGUCCCGCUUCGGCGGGACGAAGGGAAGAGAGCACGGUGCCAGGAAAAGCUUCUUAGUUAUGUAAAACUCUAUCCGUACCGCAAACCGACACAGGUGGACAGGGCGAGUAGCCUAAGAUGAACGGGAGAGCAUUCGUUAAGGAACUAGGCAAAAAAGCUAGACGUAAGUUCGCAAUAUGUCUUCCCGGCUUUACAUUCAGUUCUUCAGAAUCAUUGAAGAAGAUGAGUCAAUCGGGGAAGUCAAGGAGAAAUAGGAAUUUUUGGAACGAAGGUGGAACAUGUGGUGUUGUAUGGCUGUCGUCAGCUCCGUGUCGUGAGAUGCUGGAGAGCGAGCGCAACCCCUUUGCUAGCUGCUCUUCUGCAAUUCGAGAAGCGCGCAGCUGGGACUGCCGGUGACAAACCGGAGGAAGGUGGGGAUGACGAUCCAGUCCUCGUAGCCCAUGAAGUGGCCCGGCGAACGCCGCGCCAGUAACCACAGCCGUGGCCAGCAGCCGCGGUAAUCACGGUAUUCGUUUCCAAUUGGAUCAGGCGGAGAGCGCUCCAAGGCAGGGAUUAGAUACCCCGUGCACGCGCUCACGCCCUCCGUAAUUCCUACGUUUCUUUUUCCUUGGUCUUCCCCGACCAAUUUCUUCUUCGUGAGGACUGAAGGUUUGAAUGUAAAGUCGGGCGCAGCGAAAGUUUUUCAAGCAACUGUUUACCAAAAACACAACUCUCUGCAAACCCGCAAGGGGAAGUAUAGGGGGUGACACCUGACCAGUGCUGGAACGUUAACGGGAGCGGUUCACGCCAAUCCCCGAAGCGCCAGUGAACGUCGGCGAUAACUAUAAUCGUCCUAAGGUAGCGAAAUUCCUUGUCAGGUAAGUUCUGACCCGCAUGAAAGGUGUAAUGACUUGAAAACUGUCUCAACGAACAUCCCGGUGAAAUUGCAAUGACGGUAAAGAUGCCGUCGACCUGCAGCAAGACGAAAAGACCCCAUGGAGCUUUACUACAACUUGGUAUUGACUUAGAGUUUUUGUUGCCGAGCAUAGGUGGGAGACGUUGAAGCGCGGGUUCAGGCCUGCGUGGAGUCAACACUGGAAUACCACCCUGCAAGAAUUCUAAUUCUAACCUGCCACCAUAAUCUGGUGGGGGGACAGUGCCUGGCGGGUAGUUUGACUGGGGCGGUCGCCUCCUAAAAAGCAACGGAGGCGUUUACAAAGGUAGGCUAGGCCCGGAUGGAAAUCGGGCCGAUAGCGCAAACGCACAAGCCUGCUUUACUGAAAGACUCAUCAGUCGAUCAGUCACGAAAGUGGAAGUUAGUGAACCGACCAUCACUCGUAGGAGUGUGGAAGAUCAUCAGAUAAAAGUUACCCUGGGGAUAACAGGCUGAUCCUAUCCAAGAGUCCAUAUCGACGAUAGGGUUUGGCACCUCGAUGUCGGCUCAUCGCAUCCUGGGGGUGGAGAAGCUCCCAAGGGUUUGGCUGUUCGCCAAUUAAAGCGGUACGUGAGCUGGGUUCAAACCGUGAAGCAGCGAAGCUGCUUGACUGAGUAACCAACAAUAAACAACCUACAACAGAAUUGGAAUGCAUUUUUGUUGUGAGUAGAAAGUUGUCGGUUGUCGGUUAAAGCAUUUAGCUUUUUCACAGUUUGAAUCCGAGGUAGAAGACAUCAAAGGUAUUUUCGUCUUUGAAACAACGAUAAGAAAUCAAUCGCAUCACGGCGGUCCUUUCUUUCACUUUACGGUGGAAAAAAGGAACAAGCUGACUCAUUUCGGUGGAGUCCGACAUCUAUCAAAGGUUGUCUGGAUAAUACCGAGGGAAGUAAAAGUUGUGAGUUUCGUAGAGAGUAAUCUCAAUGAAUUAAGGUAACGUUCGACUGACGUCAUGUGCACCAUGAGCGUUAGUGUCUCGUAAGAGACUAGGACACAUCAAGUCUGUUGUCGGUUAAGUCGUAAAGACUGCGCGCAGCGCCGACAGUAAGUUGAUGGACGCAGGGGAAGAUCCUGUUGCCUUAAUGAGAUAAAGUUAUGAACCUGAACCGGGUUCAUGCUUUCUACGAAAUUCAUGAUGAGUAACACCCGUAGAGACUAAACGUCAGCAUGGAUAGUGGUGAUGAUGAAGGGUUUGGAAAUUCAUCUAAUUUCUAACAUCUAACAUCUAUCAUCUCUCCAUAAGCUAUAGUCCAAUGCAUCGAGCAAUCGGUGGUACCAUGCGUGAGACAGGUUGGUUUCCUAUCUGCUGUAGGCGUUAAGUGACUUGAGAGAACUCUUUCCUAGUACGAGAGGACCGGAAAGAACGAACCUCUGGUGUGCCUGCUGUCCUGCCAAGGGCACCGCAGGGUAGCUAUGUUCGGGCAGGAUAACCGCUGAAAGCAUCUAAGCGGGAAGCCGAGCUCAAGAUAAGGUCACGUCCCUCACCAAUUUUGUGCAGCGCAAGGCGCAAACAAAAACCUCGUUUAAAUCUAUUGAGAUGACCGUCUCAAUAACUGGACGAGAAGUGCAUAACGGAAAAGUUAUGGCGCAAAAUUGGUGAGGGAGGAAGUCCUGGAAGAUGACCAGGUUGAUAGGUUGCAGGUGUACGCCCUGUGAGGGGUUCAGCCGAGCAAUACUAAUACGAUUCCAUACCACUUUCAUUU
Molecule: ribosomal RNA, 4529 nt
Filed under: Candidatus Moraniibacteriota bacterium
Lineage: Bacteria; Candidatus Moraniibacteriota
Description: Candidatus Moranbacteria bacterium 23S ribosomal RNA
Rfam family: Bacterial large subunit ribosomal RNA (bases 4-3536)
Source: RNAcentral